This 351-nucleotide unclassified non-coding RNA is filed under the name soil metagenome. RNAcentral describes it as "partial contains 5.8S ribosomal RNA, internal transcribed spacer 2, and large subunit ribosomal RNA". The stretch from base 1 to 120 matches the Rfam family "5.8S ribosomal RNA", at positions 35 to 154 of the family's 154-position model. The record is from RNAcentral.
GAUGAAGAACGUAGCGAAACGCGAUAUGUAAUGUGAAUUGCAGAAUUCAGUGAAUCAUCGAAUCUUUGAACGCACAUGGCGCCUUCCAGUAUCCUGGGAGGCAUGCCUGUCCGAGCGUCGUUUCAACCCUCGAGCCCCCGUGGCCCGGCGUUGGGGAUCUGCCACGGCAGGCCCCUAAAACCAGUGGCGGACCCGAAGGCCCUCUCCUUUGCGCAGUAGCAUCAGCCUCGCAUUGGGAUCCCUCGUCGUCCUGCCUCUAAACCCCCCACAAGUCCGCUCCGGCGGCACCAAGGUUGACCUCGGAUCAGGUAGGAAUACCCGCUGAACUUAAGCAUAUCAAUAAGCGGAGGA